AAGAAAAACCAAGCACCCCAAAUACUAUCAACCCGUUUGGCGCAUUUCCUUCCAACCUUGGGGACAUUAAGGAAACUCUCAGUCUCAUAAACCUUCUGACCAAGUCCAACAUCUAAUAUAUCACAUGGUUCUGAAUUCCACGACUGUGGUGGAGGACUACGCUCGGCAGACAGGGGUAAAUUGAUAUCAGGUGGACGGGAAAGUAUGAUUUGACAAUUCAUCUCCAAAUCCAAUUCUUCGUGAG
RNAcentral lists this unclassified non-coding RNA (244 nucleotides) under Hevea brasiliensis (rubber tree). Lineage: Eukaryota; Viridiplantae; Streptophyta; Magnoliopsida; Malpighiales; Euphorbiaceae. The record is from RNAcentral.